RNAcentral lists this non-coding RNA (19 nucleotides) under Arabidopsis thaliana (thale cress). Lineage: Eukaryota; Viridiplantae; Streptophyta; Magnoliopsida; Brassicales; Brassicaceae. The record is from RNAcentral.
UGAGAAUCUUGAUGAUGCU